GACAGUUUGAUCUGUCCUUCUUGGAGAAGAAGAUCGAAGAUUUUAUCGGCCUUUGAUGUGUCAAAUCCGAACGUUUCCGGCUCCUUUUUUCUGAAUGGACACGAUAUCGGCUUUUUCCCUUUAAUCCAUUCCGCAAGGCCGAUCUCUGUUUCUUCUUCGGUUUCAACCUCUUCUAAGUAUGCCACCUUCUUCUGGAAGUUCCUUCGUGGAUCAAAAGGGCGUACUUCUUGACCAGACAGUCGGUGGACGAUUUGGCUUACGCUCUCAAACUCCUGCGAAGCGUAUUUUUCUU
This 292-nucleotide long non-coding RNA is filed under the name Setaria viridis. Its description in RNAcentral is "long non-coding RNA (SVIR_LNC006451)". The record is from RNAcentral. Lineage: Eukaryota; Viridiplantae; Streptophyta; Magnoliopsida; Poales; Poaceae.